CCUACGGGUGGCAGCAGUGAGGAAUAUUGGUCAAUGGGCGCGAGCCUGAACCAGCCAAGUAGCGUGAAGGAUGACUGCCUUACGUGUUGUAAACUUCUUUUAUAAAGGAAUAAAUGGCGGCACGUGUGCCUUAUUGUAUGUACUUUAUGAAUAAGGAUCGGCUAACUCCGUGUCAGCAGCCGCGGUAAUACGGAGGGUCCGAGCGUUAUCCGGAUUUAGUGGGUUUAAAGGGAGCGGAGAUGGGUUGUUAAGUCAGUUGUGAAAGUUUGCGGCUCAACCGUAGAAGUGCAAUUGAUACUGGCAGUCUUGAGUGCAGGUGAGGUAGGCGGAAUUCGUGGUGUAGCGGUGAAAUGCUUAGAUAUCACGAAGAACUCCGAUUGCGAAGGCAGCUUACUGGACUGCCACUGACGUUGAGGCUCGAAAGUGUGGGUAUCAAACAGGAUUAGAUACCCCUGUAGUC
RNAcentral lists this ribosomal RNA (460 nucleotides) under uncultured bacterium. Its description in RNAcentral is "partial 16S ribosomal RNA". It matches the Rfam family "Bacterial small subunit ribosomal RNA", at positions 338 to 795 of the family's 1533-position model. The record is from RNAcentral.